CCUACGGGAGGCAGCAGUGGGGAAUAUUGCACAAUGGGGGAAACCCUGAUGCAGCGACGCCGCGUGAGUGAAGAAGUAUCUCGGUACGUAAAGCUCUAUCAGCAGGGAAGAAAAUGACGGUACCUGACUAAGAAGCCCCGGCUAACUACGUGCCAGCAGCCGCGGUAAUACGUAGGGGGCCAGCGUUAUCCGGAUUUACUGGGUGUAAAGGGAGCGUAGACGGCAGCACAAGUCUGGAGUGAAAUCCCGGGGCUUAACCCCGGAACUGCUUUGGAAACUGGGCGGCUGGAGUGGAGGAGGGGUAAGCGGAAUGCCUAGUGUAGCGGUGAAAUGCGUAGAUAUUAGGAGGAACACCGGUGGCGAAGGCGGCUUACUGGACUGUAACUGACGUUGAGGCACGAAAGCGUGGGGAGCGAACAGGAUUAGAUACCCGAGUAGUC
RNAcentral lists this ribosomal RNA (440 nucleotides) under uncultured bacterium. RNAcentral describes it as "partial 16S ribosomal RNA". It matches the Rfam family "Bacterial small subunit ribosomal RNA", at positions 338 to 795 of the family's 1533-position model. The record is from RNAcentral.